CUACGUGCCAGCAGCCGCGGUAAUACGUAGGUGGCAAGCGUUGUCCGGAAUUAUUGGGCGUAAAGCGCGCGCAGGCGGAUUGGUCAGUCUGUCUUAAAAGUUCGGGGCUUAACCCCGUGAUGGGAUGGAAACUGCCAAUCUAGAGUAUCGGAGAGGAAAGUGGAAUUCCUAGUGUAGCGGUGAAAUGCGUAGAUAUUAGGAAGAACACCAGUGGCGAAGGCGACUUUCUGGACGAAAACUGACGCUGAGGCGCGAAAGCCAGGGGAGCGAACGGGAUUAGAUACCCCGGUAGUCCUGGCCGUAAACGAUGGGUACUAGGUGUAGGAGGUAUCGACCCCUUCUGUGCCGGAGUUAACGCAAUAAAUACCCCGCCUGGGGAGUACGACCGCAAGGUUGAAACUCAAAGGAAUUGACGGGGGCCCGCACAAGCGGUGGAGUAUGUGGUUUAAUUCGACGCAACGCGAAGAACCUUACCAGGUCUUGACAU
Molecule: ribosomal RNA, 487 nt
Filed under: uncultured bacterium
Lineage: Bacteria
Description: bacterial SSU rRNA
Rfam family: Bacterial small subunit ribosomal RNA
Source: RNAcentral